CAUCGUGGAGUCCCUGGAAGGCAUUCAGGAGAUAGAAAGGGAGAGAAAGAGAGAGCUAGACAGAGACAAACACUAGAGCCUCUGAAGCUCACUCAGCCUUCCUUACCGUGUUGUCUGUGCGUCUUCACCGCAGACUGUACAUUUUUGUUUAUUUGUUUGUUUGGGAAUUUUUGGUCUUGUCUAAGCAGGAUCGCAGAUAGGCAAAACAUCCUUUGCAGUCCUCAGGAAGUCAUAUUUGUGACGGCUUCAGCCAUGUUCUCCAUGGAUACCUUCAAAUCUAUCCUGUUUCCAUCCAGACGGAUAAAAACAGAGGAGGGGGAAGUAAGUUUAUAAUGUUUAUACAUCAGGUCACCAAGACAACCCAGAGUUCUCCCUCUUCAUAACACAAACACCAAAUUCCCCACAGCAAAACUAAUAUCUUAAAGUCCCAAUGAGCAUCUUUAAAAGCAGAAUGGUGUUAUCUGACUUAAUUCUGCCCAUGUCAAAAAUCACCUAUAUAUCAGGGGGAAGCUAAAGCCCACUGGGCACAUAUGUCAAUUCAACGUCUAUUCCAUGUUGGUUCAAGGUAGUUUCGUUGAAAUGACGUGGAAUCAACGUUGAUUCAACCAGUGGGUGCCCAGUGGAAGGUAUCUGACAAAAUAAUACAGAUUUGGUUCCUGAGUUAAUUAAGCAAUUAAAAAUCCCAUCAUGCUAAGGGUCAUGUAUAAAAAUGCUGGGAAGGCCAUUAUGUUGGCUACCAUGGCUAUGCCCCCAUAGGAUGACCAUGCCCCCAUCCACAGUGCAUGUGUGGUUUCUGAAUGGUUUGAUGAGCAUGAAAAUGAUAUAAACCCUACGCCAUGACCAUCUCAGUCACCAGAUCUCAACCCAAAUGAACACUUAUGGGAGAUUUUGGAGUGGCACCUGAGACAGCGUUUUCCACCACCAUCAACAAAAAAACUAAUGAUGGAAUUUCUUGUGGUAGAAUGGUAUCACAUGCCAAGGUGCAUUGAAGCUGUUCUGGAACAUUAUGAACACUUGUAUUUGAUAUAGACCCCCUACUUCUCCUUAAAUACAUCUCAUCUGGCAGGUCAAACAGAGUGCUGAAGCUGCAGGGCUCAGGCUCGACAUUGUGGUGUGUUUUGGAAUCAGAUAGGACUGACCUAAUAGCAAAACAAUAUAUUGGAGACCCAUACAGAAGCAGGCUAUACAAAACGUUUAGAUCAGCUAUUGGAAAGACUCCCAAAAUGCCAUCGCAACUGCAAUGUUGUGGGAAAAAAAAGUCAAUUUGCUGCAGUGAAUAGAGAAUCAUAUCAUUCUGAAGAGGCAUACGAUUUUUUAUUACUUUAAUGAUAAUGCCUUAUUGAGCAGCGGGGAAUCAUUUGAGAGCAAGUGUGCUCACGGAAAGUGAGAAUCAUGCGUCUGUGCUGAGAGAGUUGAGGCUGAUUGAAAGUGGGUUGUCGUCUCUCCACAGAGCAGAGGCUGCAACGUCGUGCGGGGUGGAAGGAACCGGGCUGAGUUUUCAUUUUGACACAGUAGCCUAACCAGCAGUCCGGUCGGAUACAGAUAAUGUAGACUUGUGGCUUUGGUGACAGAAGGGCAACAUGUGUGGAUUCAAUUGGUCAUGCAAUGAGUCAGUAUGCAAUGUUGUUGUAAUGGUCCUGAGUCUGUAACGGGUAGACAUGCUUGGAGGUGCCGUCUUCGUCAGGCGUUAUUACCGCAGAUCCACUAAUCGGGAAAGUUGUU
This is a long non-coding RNA of Oncorhynchus mykiss (rainbow trout), 1722 nucleotides long. The record is from Ensembl. NCBI's taxonomy places the organism in Eukaryota, Metazoa, Chordata, Actinopteri, Salmoniformes, Salmonidae.